Long non-coding RNA from Chinchilla lanigera (long-tailed chinchilla), 553 nucleotides. RefSeq lists it as uncharacterized. NCBI's taxonomy places the organism in Eukaryota, Metazoa, Chordata, Mammalia, Rodentia, Chinchillidae. The transcript is spliced from 3 exons. The record is from RefSeq and is a predicted model, not a curated record.
ACUGCCCAGCUUGGAAACAGCCUCGAGGGACAGAGGGGAAAAUGUGAGGCUAGUCCUUGCCUAAGAAAAGGGGAGAGGGUCAUCCAAAACAGAGCUCACCGGUUACGUGUGUGUCAUCCUGACCACAUCAAAGUUAAAUGACAUUGGCGUUAACUCCUUCAGCCCAGGAUGCGGUUUCGCGCACUAGUUGGAAGCUGAUGCUCAGCUGUACACCUUGGCCUCUCCUCUGUCUUGAUGAAUGGCCCCGUCCACUCCUUUCAAGGUCUCCUCCCCUCAGCCUCAGCUGGUCAGGUCUGUGUGCCCGGCCCUCACUGAAAGGCCAAACUUACUUGAAAAGGCAGUCAGCACAGGUGAAGCAAUGUGAUCCGCGAGGCGCACACACAUGUUUGAAAUCAAGUUCCUCUCAUCCUUUGGCGCGUUCUCACGAGCAGUUGCAAUGGAUUGUCUCUCUCCGGAGCCCCCUGUGUGUGGCAGCUUCCCACUUGUUCUUUGGGUGAGCUUUUUUCUUGCUUUUUACUCUCUGGGACAAUAAAAAUACCUCUCAAAAUAAAAU